GGAGAGGAGGGAUGUGUUGCAGCAGAGUGGAUCGCUUACUCAAGACUUGCAGGAGUUGGUGACUGGGUGUUACCUGGGCGUUACCGGCACCACUUAUACCAAUGGCAAGACACUGCUGGGAAUCUUAGCAACCAUCAAGACUCACCACCCACAAGCACCAGCAUUAUCUCCAAUACCAAGAUACAUCCAUGUGUGAAAGGUUGUCAUCACAGGAGGAGGAAUCAUCAACAGAAGAGGUGCCGCCCACAGAACCCUGGAGGCGGAUCAACUGUGUCCCAUCUGUCCUUACUUCCUGCCCACGUCCGUCGAGGUCACCACACCUGUGGGCAUCCCGGCCAACCUCACCUGCGGCGUCAUGCAGCUCGGGGACAAGAAGGUGAGAGGGAGGAGAGGAAGGGAGGUCAGACUUAACCUCGUCCUUAAGGACUUGGGUGAGGAAGGAGAUGAGGAGGGAAAGAGGAGAUGAAUGUGAGAAGUGAGGAGAGAAAAGGAGGUCUGAGUUCACCUAUUCCUUUCUGUUCGUUGGUGAAAGAGAGGAAAAGGAGAUGAGGAUAAAGGUGGUGAGGGGAUGAGGAGAAAGGUGGUGAGGAGAUGAGGAGGUGAAGAGGAGAUGAAGGUUAAACGUGAGGAGACAAAAGGAGCUCUAAGUUCAUCUAUACGUAUUCCUGUCCUUGGGUGAAAGAGGAGAAAGCGGAGGUGAGGAGCAAGAAUAAGCAAGAAGAGAGGAGACAAAAGGAGCUCUAAGUUCAUCUAUACGUAUUCCUGUCCUUGGGUGAAAGAGGAGAAAGCGGAGGUGAGGAGCAAGAAUAAGCAUGAAGAGAGGAGACAAAAGGAGCUCUAAGUUCAUCUAUACGUAUUCCUGUCCUUGGGUGAAAGAGGAGAAAGCGGAGGUGAGGAGCAAGAAUAAGCAAGAGGAGAGGAGACAAAAGGAGCUCUGGGUUCAUCUAUUCCUUCCUCUUCCUGGUUUUCCUGUGUGAGGGUUGGAAAGAGAAGGUAAGGGGCAGGUAAAGAGGCUAGGUGGAAAUAGAAGAUACACGGUGAGCAGAGAUGAGGGGGAAGAAAGUGAUAAGAGGUAAGGGAAAAGGAGCUCAGAAUUCGUCCAUUCCUUCCUUGUUAAUGGUUUUCAUGGGCGAGGGUUACGAGAUGAGGGAAAGGUGAGGAGAUAAGGUGAGAAGAGAAGAGGUAAGAAGGUGG
Molecule: long non-coding RNA, 1194 nt
Organism: Eriocheir sinensis (Chinese mitten crab)
Lineage: Eukaryota; Metazoa; Arthropoda; Malacostraca; Decapoda; Varunidae
Exons: 3
Source: RefSeq, a predicted model, not a curated record